AUUGAACGCCGGCGGAAUGCUUUACACAUGCAAGUCGAACGGCAGCAUAGGUGCUUGCACCUGAUGGCGAGUGGCGAACGGGUGAGUAAUACAUCGGAACGCGCCCAGUCGUGGGGGAUAACGUAGCGAAAGUUACGCUAAUACCGCAUACGAUCUAAGGAUGAAAGCGGGGGACCGUAAGGCCUCGCGCGAUUGGAGCGGCCGAUGUCAGAUUAGGUAGUUGGUGAGGUAAAGGCCCACCAAGCCGACGAUCUGUAGCUGGUCUGAGAGGGCGACCAGCCACACUGGGACUGAGACACGGCCCAGACUCCUACGGGAGGCAGCAGUGGGGAAUUUUGGACAAUGGACGCAAGUCUGAUCCAGCCAUUCCGCGUGCAGGACGAAGGCCUUCGGGUUGUAAACUGCUUUUGUACGGAACGAAAAAGCUCUUACUAAUACUAGGAGUCCAUGACGGUACCGUAAGAAUAAGCACCGGCUAACUACGUGCCAGCCGCCGCAGUAA
RNAcentral lists this ribosomal RNA (502 nucleotides) under uncultured bacterium. Its description in RNAcentral is "partial 16S ribosomal RNA". It matches the Rfam family "Bacterial small subunit ribosomal RNA", at positions 30 to 523 of the family's 1533-position model. The record is from RNAcentral.